This 425-nucleotide ribosomal RNA is filed under the name uncultured bacterium. Its description in RNAcentral is "partial 16S ribosomal RNA". It matches the Rfam family "Bacterial small subunit ribosomal RNA", at positions 354 to 796 of the family's 1533-position model. The record is from RNAcentral.
GUGUGGAAUCUUAGACAAUGGGGGAAACCCUGAUCUAGCCAUGCCGCGUGAGCGAUGAAGGCCUUAGGGUUGUAAAGCUCUUUCAGCUGGGAAGAUAAUGACGGUACCAGCAGAAGAAGCCCCGGCUAACUCCGUGCCAGCAGCCGCGGUAAUACGGAGGGGGCUAGCGUUGUUCGGAAUUACUGGGCGUAAAGCGCGCGUAGGCGGACCAGAAAGUUGGAGGUGAAAUCCCAGGGCUCAACCUUGGAACUGCCUUCAAAACUCCUGGUCUGGAGUUCGAGAGAGGUGAGUGGAAUUCCGAGUGUAGAGGUGAAAUUCGUAGAUAUUCGGAGGAACACCAGUGGCGAAGGCGGCUCACUGGCUCGAUACUGACGCUGAGGUGCGAAAGCGUGGGGAGCAAACAGGAUUAGAAACCCUGGUAGUCC